Molecule: signal recognition particle RNA, 303 nt
Filed under: Trifolium pratense (red clover)
Lineage: Eukaryota; Viridiplantae; Streptophyta; Magnoliopsida; Fabales; Fabaceae
Description: SRP RNA Plant_SRP
Rfam family: Plant signal recognition particle RNA
Source: RNAcentral
GCCGAGCUGGGUAACAUCAGCUUGUAACCCAAGUGGGGGCAUUAAUGUGGUGGAACAUGGCUCAGGUUUCAUUGGGUUGGGUUGGUUGCUUCAAAUUCUGGCUUGCCCACUCCAAGUUGAGAGUUGAUAUAUGCGGGCCUGGCUGUAGGCCUAAGUCACGUAUAUCCUAAAUUGAAAGACAUCGCGUGAGGCUGGCUUAACAGAGCAGCGUAACUUUCAGCUCUCGACAGUGGAGGGAUAACAGGCUGCUGUACUUCUGGCCCAAUGUGCCUAGUGAGCCUAGCUAGUUGAACCACCGCUUUU